Molecule: ribosomal RNA, 256 nt
Filed under: Escherichia coli
Lineage: Bacteria; Pseudomonadati; Pseudomonadota; Gammaproteobacteria; Enterobacterales; Enterobacteriaceae
Description: partial 23S ribosomal RNA
Rfam family: Bacterial large subunit ribosomal RNA
Source: RNAcentral
CGAGAUUCCCCCAGUAGCGGCGAGCGAACGGGGAGCAGCCCAGAGUCUGAAUCAGUGUGUGUGUUAGUGGAAGCGUCUGGAAAGGCGCGCGAUACAGGGUGACAGCCCCGUACACAAAAAUGCACAUAUUGUGAGCUCGAUGAGUAGGGCGGGACACGUGGUAUCCUGUCUGAAUAUGGGGGGACCAUCCUCCAAGGCUAAAUACUCCUGACUGACCGAUAGUGAACCAGUACCGUGAGGGAAAGGCGAAAAGAAC